UAGGGAAUCUUCGGCAAUGGGGGGCAACCCUGACCGAGCACCGCCCCGUGAGUGAAGAAGGUUUUCGGACCGUAAAGUCCUUUUGUAAGAGAAGAAGGGGGGUGAGAGUGGAAAGUUCACACAGUGACGUUAACUUACCAGAAAGAACCGGCUAAUUACUUGCCAGCAGCCGCGGUAAUACGUAGGUCCCGAGCGUUGUCCGGUUUUAUUGGGCGUAAAGCGAGCGCAGGCGGUUUAAUAAGUCUGAAGUUAAAGGCAGUGGCUUAACCAUUGUUCGCUUUGGAAACUGUUAAACUUGAGUGCAGAAGGGGAGAGUGGAAUUCCAUGUGUAGCGGUGAAAUGCGUAGAUAUAUGGAGGAACACCGGUGGCGAAAGCGGCUCUCUGGUCUGUAACUGACGCUGAGGCUCGAAAGCGUGGGGAGCAAACAGG
Molecule: ribosomal RNA, 430 nt
Filed under: bacterium
Lineage: Bacteria
Description: partial 16S ribosomal RNA
Rfam family: Bacterial small subunit ribosomal RNA
Source: RNAcentral